RNAcentral lists this ribosomal RNA (305 nucleotides) under uncultured bacterium. Its description in RNAcentral is "bacterial SSU rRNA". It matches the Rfam family "Bacterial small subunit ribosomal RNA", at positions 333 to 636 of the family's 1533-position model. The record is from RNAcentral.
CUGCUCCUACGGGGGCAGCAGUGAGGAAUAUUGGUCAAUGGGCGCGAGCCUGAACCAGCCAAGUCGCGUGAGGGAAGACGGUCCUAUGGAUUGUAAACCUCUUUUGUCGGGGAGCAAAAGACGCCACGCGUGGCGUUCCGAGAGUACCCGAAGAAAAAGCAUCGGCUAACUCCGUGCCAGCAGCCGCGGUAAUACGUAGGGAGCGAGCGUUGUCCGGAUUUACUGGGUGUAAAGGGUGCGCAGGCGGCUCUGCAAGUCAGGCGUGAAAGCUAGGGGCUCAACCCCUAAAUUGCGCUUGAAACUGU